This 1703-nucleotide unclassified non-coding RNA is filed under the name Haliotis rufescens (red abalone). RNAcentral describes it as "uncharacterized LOC124120123, transcript variant X1". The record is from RNAcentral. Lineage: Eukaryota; Metazoa; Mollusca; Gastropoda; Lepetellida; Haliotidae.
GCCACGUGUAGCAAGGAGUUUAUAUAAAAAGGACCCAGUCUUCUUUCACAACACUUGAGGAUCGGAGCCAUCGUUGAACUUAACUUUACAACAGCUUUAAGACUGCGAAGUUUAUAAGGAUGGCCAGUUCAGUGACUGAUCUUGAUGAACUCCUUAAACAAUGGGCGUGGAAAAUGUACACACGGACGAAAAAUACUGUGAGUAUUGACAAUGCACAGCUUGAUGUUGUUUGGAAUAAGGUACGUUUCCAAUCCGCCCAGGCAAACUUCUCGAAGCAACAUGCAUCAAAUGUUCCUCAGUCUCAGAUCGUGUUCAGUUCAACAUUCGACAAUGAAACGACGCAAUAUCAACAGCACAACUUCCAGACUCAGCGGUCAACGAUUGCGACUGUCACAACGGCAAUGUCCAAAGGCUUCACACGUGGGGUCAAUGCAGGAAUCAAGCUUCCGGUCCCACCGGAAGUGCUCAGCUCUACAGCCGGGUUCGGCAACGAGGUCACCAUCGAAUGCGAGGAUGAAUAUUCGGUACAGAAGUCCCUCUCCUGGGCUGUCAACACGACUGUCAAUGCACCAAAGGAAAUGAGAACUGUUGCUGAACUUGAAAUACUUGAAAAUGAAUUCAAAUGCAACUUCAAGAUGAAUGUAUCCUUCCGAGGGACGGUUAGGGUGAAUAUCACCGAAUUACCCUCUGAAAAGGUGCUGAUUUUUCAAAACGACAUCGCCCAGAUUCUAGGUGAUAGUGGUUCCCUACUACCAGACUGCGUGGAGAUCACACCCAAGAAGGUGGUUUGGCCUGUCAUAGGGAAGGUUCAGUUCCGGUAUGGCGUCUCUCAAAAGGUCCGCGUGUAUCAGGAAGAUCUUGAGGACGAACCUGUUGAUGAUGGCAACUACGAUCAAUAUUAUAAUUGAAAGAACUUUUCCAUUCGUUGUCAGUUCAUGUUCAACUGUUGGUUUGUUAAUUAGAACAUGUGAACAUGUAACUGAUCUCUAUGUACCAUAAUGAACUGAUUGCUACAUGACUGUACAUGACUGAAAUUUUACAGACUCCCUCAACCGUCAUUAUUAACAAACUUGGUGUAUUGAUAAGUCUGUGUGUUUCUUUGAUCCGGAUUAAUAGGUAUAUCGAUAAGUCUGUGUGUCUAUUUGAACUGGAUUAAGGGCAAAUCGAUAAGUCUGUGUGUCUAUUUGAACUGGAUUAAGGGCAAAUCGAUAAGUCUGUGUGUCUAUUUGAACUGGAUUAAGGGCAAAUCGAUAAGUCUGUGUGUCUAUUUGAACCGGAAUAACCUAUCCUAUGUACUGACGUUUAUAGAAAGGUUCGGCAAAGAAGUCCACAUUGAAUUGGAACGGAGACUUUCGUGAGACAGUUCGUCUAUGGCAAAAAAUGCUUUCAAGAAGAAGAGUGUCCUUGGAUGAUCUAUGCCCGUAUUUUGCAUAUUGUGAUAUUACAAACGUUUUUAUAAACGCUCAUGUAUAUGUGAAAUAUUCCAGAACAAUAAUCAAAUGAUUAUUUCAAAGCGUGCAAUUGAAUGUGCAUAUUUUGUUAGAUUGGGAAUACUAUACCUUCAGAUAACAUAUAGAGCUAGCUGCAAGAAUAUAAUUUUGUUUUAUAUUGUUAAACGAAUUUAGGGUUAGCCACACAAAGAUUAAAGUGUAAACGUUUACACAUCAGUUUAUGUUGUCUGAAUAAAUUCGUCGAGAGAAGUC